This 70-nucleotide transfer RNA is filed under the name Dipodomys ordii (Ord's kangaroo rat). It matches the Rfam family "tRNA". Rfam says of the family: Transfer RNA (tRNA) molecules are approximately 80 nucleotides in length. The record is from Rfam by way of RNAcentral. Lineage: Eukaryota; Metazoa; Chordata; Mammalia; Rodentia; Heteromyidae.
GGGAAAGUGGCUCAGUGGUAGAGCGCUUGCCUUGUAUGCCUGAGGGCCUGGGUUCAAUUCCUCAGCACCA